Molecule: ribosomal RNA, 459 nt
Filed under: uncultured bacterium
Lineage: Bacteria
Description: partial 16S ribosomal RNA
Rfam family: Bacterial small subunit ribosomal RNA
Source: RNAcentral
CCUACGGGAGGCAGCAGUGAGGAAUAUUGGUCAAUGGCCGGAAGGCUGACCCAGCCAAGCCGCGUGAAUGACGAAGGUGCCAAGCAUUGUAAACUUCUUUUGUCAAGGGACAAAAUCAGGCUCGAGAACCUGACCGCGGGUACUUGAAGAAAAAGCAUCGGCUAACUCCGUGCCAGCAGCCGCGGUAAUACGGAGGAGGCGAGCGUUAUCCGGAUUUAUUGGGGUUAAGGGGUGCGUAGGCGGGCUUUUAAGUCAGCGGUAAAAGCCCGGGGCUCAACCCCGGCGAGCCGUUGAAACUGGCUGUCUUGAGAUGUCGAGAGGCAGGCGGAAUGCGCAGUGUAGCGGUGAAAUGCUUAGAUAUUGCGCAGAACUCCGAUUGCGAAGGCAGAAUACUGGCGGCGAUCUGACGCUGAGGCACGAAAGCGUGGGUAUCGAACAGGAUUAGAUACCCGAGUAGUC